Molecule: ribosomal RNA, 253 nt
Filed under: uncultured prokaryote
Description: partial 16S ribosomal RNA
Rfam family: Bacterial small subunit ribosomal RNA
Source: RNAcentral
UACGGGGUUGCGAGCGUUAUCCGGAUUUAUUGGGUUUAAAGGGUGCGUAGGCGGCCGAGUAAGUCAGCGGUGAAAUUUUGCAGCUUAACUGUAACAGUGCCGUUGAUACUGCAUGGCUAGGAUUUGGUUGCUGUGGGUGGAAUGUGUGGUGUAGCGGUGAAAUGCUUAGAUAUCACACAGAAUAUCAAUUGCGAAGGCAGCUCACAAAGCCAAGAUUGACGCUGAGGCACGAAAGUGUGGGGAUCAAACAGGA